Long non-coding RNA from Passer domesticus (house sparrow), 859 nucleotides. RefSeq lists it as uncharacterized. NCBI's taxonomy places the organism in Eukaryota, Metazoa, Chordata, Aves, Passeriformes, Passeridae. The record is from RefSeq and is a predicted model, not a curated record. The transcript is spliced from 4 exons.
GUGAUUGGCAGCUUAUCAGGAGUGCAAGCAUUUGGAGAUGGCAAAAUAAAGGAGCCAAAUCCAUAAUUUGGUUGUUCAGUGGGGAAUUUGGAGCAGCCAAUGGGAAGGCAUGACAUGGACAUCAGCAAAGGGGCUGCAUUGCACCAAGGUCAGCUUUGGCUUCAUGAACCACAUGUGACUGGAUAAUUCAGACAAAGCAGCGACUCAGAGUGAGAGACAAGCUCCUGACCCUCGUGUCCUAGUGAAAUUGUCCCAGUGGAGCCCAUGGUGUGGAGUUCAGAAGCAAAGAGAGAAACAACCCAGCAAUAACAACCAAAUCCAUCCACCAGGAGUGCCUGCUGUAAAUUAGGAGAGCUCAGCUGACUCCGCAGGAGUCACAUGGAAUAGCAGAGAGCAGAGCUGAGCCCGAGUAAUCUGUGAUCUGGCAGCCAAUUUGUUUCCAAACAGCAAGUACCAGACAGAAGAUCUUUUCCCCCAAGGAGGCAAAACAGUCAGACAUCUUUUCAAGAAGUGUGAACUGCCAAGGGUUGAAAUGGUGACAAAUUUGAUCCCAGAACCCUGAGAAAAUUAAUAAAGGUUAAUGAAGCUUCAGUGUGGUGGCAGGAGUCUUUAUUGCCAUCCAAAAAGGGAAAGCAGAGGAGGCAGAGGAAUGAUUCAGAGAGUCCCUGCCAGGAGCCAGGCUUUCUAUUCAGCAGUUUGGAUCAUGGGAGAGUUUGUGAAAUUGUAUUUACCAUCACGGUUGCCUGAAAGCAGAACUUGAGGAGUCUAGGAAUUGUCACAUGGACUCCUCCAAACAUUCCCAGCACCAGCUGGCUGCUGGCUGGAGGGGAUGGAAUGGGGCAGUCACCCACCUGCCAUC